AAAACUUUCAACAACGGAUCUCUUGGCUCUGGCAUCGAUGAAGAACGCAGCGAAAUGCGAUAAGUAAUGUGAAUUGCAGAAUCCAGUGAAUCAUCGAAUCUUUGAACGCACAUUGCGCCCGCCAGCAUUCUGGCGGGCAUGCCUGUUCGAGCGUCAUU
Molecule: ribosomal RNA, 158 nt
Filed under: Beauveria bassiana
Lineage: Eukaryota; Fungi; Ascomycota; Sordariomycetes; Hypocreales; Cordycipitaceae
Also listed under: 1 other name
Description: 5.8S ribosomal RNA
Rfam family: 5.8S ribosomal RNA
About the family: 5.8S ribosomal RNA (5.8S rRNA) is a component of the large subunit of the eukaryotic ribosome.
Source: RNAcentral